ACGAACGCUGGCGGCAUGCCUAACACAUGCAAGUCGAACGAGACCUUCGGGUCUAGUGGCGCACGGGUGCGUAACGCGUGGGAACCUGCCCUUAGGUUCGGAAUAACUCCCCGAAAGGGGUGCUAAUACCGGAUAAUGUCUUCGGACCAAAGAUUUAUCGCCUUUGGAUGGGCCCGCGUUGGAUUAGCUAGUUGGUAGGGUAAAAGCCUACCAAGGCGACGAUCCAUAGCUGGUCUGAGAGGAUGAUCAGCCACACUGGGACUGAGACACGGCCCAGACUCCUACGGGAGGCAGCAGUGGGGAAUAUUGGACAAUGGGCGAAAGCCUGAUCCAGCAAUGCCGCGUGAGUGAUGAAGGCCUUAGGGUUGUAAAGCUCUUUUACCCGGGACGAUAAUGACAGUACCGGGAGAAUAAGCUCCGGCUAACUCCGUG
RNAcentral lists this ribosomal RNA (432 nucleotides) under uncultured bacterium. RNAcentral's name for it is "partial 16S ribosomal RNA". It matches the Rfam family "Bacterial small subunit ribosomal RNA", at positions 29 to 507 of the family's 1533-position model. The record is from RNAcentral.